Molecule: RNA transcript, 1393 nt
Organism: Salvia splendens (bonfire salvia)
Lineage: Eukaryota; Viridiplantae; Streptophyta; Magnoliopsida; Lamiales; Lamiaceae
Exons: 6
Source: RefSeq, a predicted model, not a curated record
UAAUUUUUAUUUCAACCAAAAAAAUAAAGAAUCUUGCUCACCCAAAUUUCAUCAUACAGAAUGGCCACAAAUAUAUGGCCAAAUACUUGUAAAUUGCAGAGACUGAUGAUGCGUUGCGGCAAUGGAUGCAUACAAAUGGGUCCGGCGAAGUGUUUCUAAUCUGAAUAAGGCGUCGUUGCCCUCCGUCGCGGCUAGCAAAAGUUCCGAAAACAAAUUACAACCCCAAGAAGAGGAUAAAAUCUAUGGAAUCACGGAGAAAUUAAUCGAAUUGGUCAAAUCAUUCUCUAUUGACACCUUCAGGAACUUCGCUCUUCCUGACGAGGAAGAAAGUGGCUCUGAUGUUGGAAAGUCUGGGAAUGUACGGAUGGAUCUUUCUGACUGGCAGGAAACUCAUGCUAUGCUUGUCCUUUCCAGAGUCAAAGAACUUGCGCAACUACGAUUUCAAUUAUGCCCUCGCUAUUUGAAGGAAAAGCAGUUUUGGAGAAUAUACUUUACUCUUGUUAGGAGUUUGGUGGUCGAAUAUGAGCUGCAUGCUGUAAGAGUAGCCAGACUCAAGCAGAUCAGAUUGGAAAACGAUACUGUGUCUAACAGUAGUGCCUGUGAAGUUGAAAUGUCUGAUACAAAAUUUGUACCUCCUUCGGACUCGACAACUUCAGUGGAAUAGAUGUUGUCUUCAAAUUUGCAAAAUUUAUGCUUUAUCUGGUUGAGGAACCUCUGGGAUGUGCGUGAAGAGAAAUUAUUAUAUAGUAUGGAACUCUUUCUGGGAGGCCUCCUGGCUUUUGUGGUAAAUGAAAAUGACUUUGGGAAGGAGCCACUUAUACCAAUCUAUCAGGUACAUGAACUUGCAAGUUUCAAGUUUAAAUGAUAGGAGUACAUUUUACUUAAAAGUAAUCUGAUUUAAAGAAUUAAGUACUACUGUUUAUGAUCAAAUAGACUCGUAAUUCUUGAAUCCAUCAAAGUGUGCUGUGGAUUUGAAGAUUCAUAAAUCUUACUCCAUAUUAGGUGUUUAAUCAAAUCCUAAUCGAGGAUUAAUAAACUGUUAUUACGCAAGUUUUUGCCUUUGUAGAGAUAAGAGUGCAGUCGGCGCACACAGGUUUUUGCCUUGGUUGGUCGUGGUACUUACUCUACCCUACAAUCAGUAUACUGCUUGUUUGAUGAACGUUCAUUUAUAUAGAAUGACAGGUAGUUGAGCAAUAAAUAGUUGCAAUAGUACACUUAUUUGGUCAUGUAUGUUAAUUCAAUCUUGUUGUUUUUUAUGAUUGAAUUUGUAAUCAAUCAUAAUAAAAGCUUUAAAAAGAAGUAAAAUAUCACUUUGUGUCACAAGAGAGAAUAUGAUUCAGCUUACAAGACAUUUUGACAGACUCGUGACAAUAAAUACUCUGCUUCGAGUCUA